AUAUGCCACAUAAAGUGAUGUGUGAAAAAUAGGCGAGAAGUUAGCCUCCUGAGUUCAGAGAAAACUUGGAUGAUUUAGCUAAAAGGUAUCCUAGUACAAAUAAACAUGGAAGAUUUAGCUCAAUAAAAGGUAUCCUAAGUUUAGAAAUAAACUUGGAAGAUUUAGACGAGACAAGGUCUAAAUAAAAGGUAUCCUAAGUUUACAAAAAAACUUGGAAGAUUUAGACGAGACAAGAUCUAAAUAGUGAUCACGUGUAUGUAUGUGUGUGUGAGAGUUGAGACAUGAAUGCUACGUUUUGCAAAUGAAGCAGCAGUACUGAUGGAAACCUAACCAUGAUAACAUAAAUCAGAAGUCUGUUGAAGUAGUUAGCAGAACCUCUGGAUUAAGCAAACACAUUGUCAUAAUGGGAAACUGUUGCAGUUGUUGUGGCUGUUGUAAAUCCUCCAAGGGCCCGGAGGUAACAGGAGAUCAGAAGUACAUGCUGCAUGUAGAUGAAAAAAGGCAUAGCAGGACAUAUGAAUAAAUAGGAAAACUAAAUAUGGAGUUUCUGGAAAGUUAAAAGUUGAAGAUUUAGAGGAUGCUGUGAGAAAGUUACAGGUUAGAGUGGCCACCAAGAAGGGAAACGCAAAAGGAAAAAAGGAGGAGCUUGCGGCAGCUAAGGUGUGGCUCACAGAAAGUCACAAAAGGAGGAAAGGGAUUAGAAAAGGAAAAGGGACCAGAGUAAUGUUUGUGAGACAAGAGGAUAAUGAAGGACAAGGGAGACGUAGGAGACGCCAGCAGAUAGCUGACCCUGGGCCUCCUCCUGGUCCAGCAAUUCUGCCAGAAGGCCAGGGUUUACUCCCACCAGCGCAGGCUCCAGCGGGAGCUGCAGGGGAAGUCGCGGAGGGAGCUGCGGGGGGUGCUCAAGCUCCAACACCCACUACACCCCCCCCCCCCCCCCCAAUUACCUAAUGCACAGAGAAUUUACCCAGAUCUAACCCAAAAUGAUCAAGGCAUGAAUCUCAGAGACCGUGGUACGAUACGCCCACCAGAUAAAUAUUCGCCUUGGAAACUUAAUCCUAAUAUUGCAGAGCAAUUUCCCUUAGUACAGGUACCAAACCCCACUGCAGAUGAACAUGACGCCAACCAGCCUAGGUUCCUCUAUGUGUUCAGACCCUGGACUUUAGAGGAAGCAGAAAGAGCAGUGAAAGGGUUAACAUCACCAGAUGAAGAUGUAGAAGCGUGGGCAGUUGAUUUCAUGCAACUCCUAAAUUCUUAUCGCCUAAAUGGCCAUGAAACAGGACAAGCCUUUCAGUCCUCCCUUGGAAAAAAUUGGGGGAGGGUUCAAGGGAAUUAUGCGGGAAGAAACGCUCAAGGACAAAUUUUACCUUAUCUAGACGAAGGCCCUCUGCCAGACGGAGAGUACAAAGCAGCAGUAGAUGGAGUGUUGGCUAGAGCUAGAUUAGCACUGAUGCAUAGAGCAAACUGUGUGACUCUGGUGUUAAACAAAAAACCGGAGAACCUCUUGAUGAGUUUAGAAAGAGAUUUGAAAAAGAAUUUCGUGUGCAUAGCAUAGGUGCAUAGCGGUAUUCCACACGAUCUAGCCCCAGCAGGACCCUACCAGCAACAGUUAAAAAACAUGCUGCUAAACAAUUUCUUACCAGACAGUUCGUACUGGGUGAGAAAGCAUGACAUAGAGCAUGAAACACAUAGUCCAGACCAAAUCAUUCAGUAUGCUCGUCAUGCGGAGAAAUUUCUGAACAAACAAAGAAAGAAGGGCCCCACUGAUGAUGGAGGUGUGUUUUUAACAGAUGCAGAUGCUCAUUGGGAAAGUGAAUAAAUGAGAUAUAUUACCAAGGAGGUCGUCGCCCUCCCAACCAUGGCCACAACAGAAGUAGAGGAGAAUAGCGCGGGAGGGGACGGGGUGGUUACCAAAACCUGAUAAAAAAUACCAAGACAAGCUUUUCCAACACACAGAGGUACCAAUCUGGACCUGUUAUCUCUACUCAGACGGGAAAUCAACCACGGUAGUUUCUGUUGAAUUACCUUCUAAUGUGAGAUCACUAUUCUGGUUACCUACAGACCCUCAUCUCUCUCUCACUAAAGCCACAGAACUAAAAUGGCGAGAUUUAGGCCCCAUAG
Molecule: long non-coding RNA, 2121 nt
Organism: Notolabrus celidotus (New Zealand spotty)
Lineage: Eukaryota; Metazoa; Chordata; Actinopteri; Labriformes; Labridae
Exons: 2
Source: RefSeq, a predicted model, not a curated record